Molecule: ribosomal RNA, 2902 nt
Filed under: Escherichia coli
Lineage: Bacteria; Pseudomonadati; Pseudomonadota; Gammaproteobacteria; Enterobacterales; Enterobacteriaceae
Description: bacterial LSU rRNA
Rfam family: Bacterial large subunit ribosomal RNA
Source: RNAcentral
UUAAGCGACUAAGCGUACACGGUGGAUGCCCUGGCAGUCAGAGGCGAUGAAGGACGUGCUAAUCUGCGAUAAGCGUCGGUAAGGUGAUAUGAACCGUUAUAACCGGCGAUUUCCGAAUGGGGAAACCCAGUGUGUUUCGACACACUAUCAUUAACUGAAUCCAUAGGUUAAUGAGGCGAACCGGGGGAACUGAAACAUCUAAGUACCCCGAGGAAAAGAAAUCAACCGAGAUUCCCCCAGUAGCGGCGAGCGAACGGGGAGGAGCCCAGAGUCUGAAUCAGUGUGUGUGUUAGUGGAAGCGUCUGGAAAGGCGCGCGAUACAGGGUGACAGCCCCGUACACAAAAAUGCACAUACUGUGAGCUCGAUGAGUAGGGCGGGACACGUGGUAUCCUGUCUGAAUAUGGGGGGACCAUCCUCCAAGGCUAAAUACUCCUGACUGACCGAUAGUGAACCAGUACCGUGAGGGAAAGGCGAAAAGAACCCCGGCGAGGGGAGUGAAAAAGAACCUGAAACCGUGUACGUACAAGCAGUGGGAGCACGCUUAGGCGUGUGACUGCGUACCUUUUGUAUAAUGGGUCAGCGACUUAUAUUCUGUAGCAAGGUUAACCGAAUAGGGGAGCCGAAGGGAAACCGAGUCUUAACUGGGCGUUAAGUUGCAGGGUAUAGACCCGAAACCCGGUGAUCUAGCCAUGGGCAGGUUGAAGGUUGGGUAACACUAACUGGAGGACCGAACCGACUAAUGUUGAAAAAUUAGCGGAUGACUUGUGGCUGGGGGUGAAAGGCCAAUCAAACCGGGAGAUAGCUGGUUCUCCCCGAAAGCUAUUUAGGUAGCGCCUCGUGAAUUCAUCUCCGGGGGUAGAGCACUGUUUCGGCAAGGGGGUCAUCCCGACUUACCAACCCGAUGCAAACUGCGAAUACCGGAGAAUGUUAUCACGGGAGACACACGGCGGGUGCUAACGUCCGUCGUGAAGAGGGAAACAACCCAGACCGCCAGCUAAGGUCCCAAAGUCAUGGUUAAGUGGGAAACGAUGUGGGAAGGCCCAGACAGCCAGGAUGUUGGCUUAGAAGCAGCCAUCAUUUAAAGAAAGCGUAAUAGCUCACUGGUCGAGUCGGCCUGCGCGGAAGAUGUAACGGGGCUAAACCAUGCACCGAAGCUGCGGCAGCGACGCUUAUGCGUUGUUGGGUAGGGGAGCGUUCUGUAAGCCUGUGAAGGUGUGCUGUGAGGCAUGCUGGAGGUAUCAGAAGUGCGAAUGCUGACAUAAGUAACGAUAAAGCGGGUGAAAAGCCCGCUCGCCGGAAGACCAAGGGUUCCUGUCCAACGUUAAUCGGGGCAGGGUGAGUCGACCCCUAAGGCGAGGCCGAAAGGCGUAGUCGAUGGGAAACAGGUUAAUAUUCCUGUACUUGGUGUUACUGCGAAGGGGGGACGGAGAAGGCUAUGUUGGCCGGGCGACGGUUGUCCCGGUUUAAGCGUGUAGGCUGGUUUUCCAGGCAAAUCCGGAAAAUCAAGGCUGAGGCGUGAUGACGAGGCACUACGGUGCUGAAGCAACAAAUGCCCUGCUUCCAGGAAAAGCCUCUAAGCAUCAGGUAACAUCAAAUCGUACCCCAAACCGACACAGGUGGUCAGGUAGAGAAUACCAAGGCGCUUGAGAGAACUCGGGUGAAGGAACUAGGCAAAAUGGUGCCGUAACUUCGGGAGAAGGCACGCUGAUAUGUAGGUGAAGUCCCUUGCGGAUGGAGCUGAAAUCAGUCGAAGAUACCAGCUGGCUGCAACUGUUUAUUAAAAACACAGCACUGUGCAAACACGAAAGUGGACGUAUACGGUGUGACGCCUGCCCGGUGCCGGAAGGUUAAUUGAUGGGGUCAGCGCAAGCGAAGCUCUUGAUCGAAGCCCCGGUAAACGGCGGCCGUAACUAUAACGGUCCUAAGGUAGCGAAAUUCCUUGUCGGGUAAGUUCCGACCUGCACGAAUGGCGUAAUGAUGGCCAGGCUGUCUCCACCCGAGACUCAGUGAAAUUGAACUCGCUGUGAAGAUGCAGUGUACCCGCGGCAAGACGGAAAGACCCCGUGAACCUUUACUAUAGCUUGACACUGAACAUUGAGCCUUGAUGUGUAGGAUAGGUGGGAGGCUUUGAAGUGUGGACGCCAGUCUGCAUGGAGCCGACCUUGAAAUACCACCCUUUAAUGUUUGAUGUUCUAACGUGGACCCGUGAUCCGGGUUGCGGACAGUGUCUGGUGGGUAGUUUGACUGGGGCGGUCUCCUCCUAAAGAGUAACGGAGGAGCACGAAGGUUGGCUAAUCCUGGUCGGACAUCAGGAGGUUAGUGCAAUGGCAUAAGCCAGCUUGACUGCGAGCGUGACGGCGCGAGCAGGUGCGAAAGCAGGUCAUAGUGAUCCGGUGGUUCUGAAUGGAAGGGCCAUCGCUCAACGGAUAAAAGGUACUCCGGGGAUAACAGGCUGAUACCGCCCAAGAGUUCAUAUCGACGGCGGUGUUUGGCACCUCGAUGUCGGCUCAUCACAUCCUGGGGCUGAAGUAGGUCCCAAGGGUAUGGCUGUUCGCCAUUUAAAGUGGUACGCGAGCUGGGUUUAGAACGUCGUGAGACAGUUCGGUCCCUAUCUGCCGUGGGCGCUGGAGAACUGAGGGGGGCUGCUCCUAGUACGAGAGGACCGGAGUGGACGCAUCACUGGUGUUCGGGUUGUCAUGCCAAUGGCACUGCCCGGUAGCUAAAUGCGGAAGAGAUAAGUGCUGAAAGCAUCUAAGCACGAAACUUGCCCCGAGAUGAGUUCUCCCUGACCCUUUAAGGGUCCUGAAGGAACGUUGAAGACGACGACGUUGAUAGGCCGGGUGUGUAAGCGCAGCGAUGCGUUGAGCUAACCGGUACUAAUGAACCGUGAGGCUUAACCUU